Rosa chinensis is the source of this 1075-nucleotide long non-coding RNA. RefSeq lists it as uncharacterized. NCBI's taxonomy places the organism in Eukaryota, Viridiplantae, Streptophyta, Magnoliopsida, Rosales, Rosaceae. The transcript has 6 exons. The record is from RefSeq and is a predicted model, not a curated record.
CACUUCAACUAUUCUACUGUUCAAGAUCGACAGUGAUGAAAUCAGUUGUUCCAUCUCCUUCUCCUCAGGGUUGGAAGAUAACGCAGAAGACAACCACCUCUACGCUCGGAACCCAAUCGACAUCGCUUCUCUUCGUCCCUCCUAACUCGAAGAGUUCGUCAAAGAAACCAUUACUGUGUCUGAGAGGCAUCUCAUCUUGGCUGCUAGAAAAGUUUCUCAAUCAGAAGCCAGUUUACUUGGAUCAAGAAGCUUCCAACAGCCAAGAAUUUCUUUCUGUGAUCCAGAGGAUAUGAAAAGCUGGUGAUGUGGAGAUAUUAGCUGUCACCGAUGUCGUAUGGACUGAAUGACAGCCGGUGCAAUCAAUUCCUUGGAAGAAGUUGGAGACAUAUCCUUACCAACUCAACAGAACCUUUAGGAGUAAUGGUCUCUUGAAGUCUCGAGGAGUGUUCCCAGAAGCACGUUGGUACUGGAUUGGUGUAGUAGCUUUAUUUGGAUUUAUUCUUCUAUAUAUUCAACUUCCUUUUUAUUUUGGCACUUCAGUAUCUUCAACCUCUUGGUAAGCCUCAUGCAGUACUUUCCAAAGAGGCCUUGGCAAAGAAACAAGCCACCAAAACUGGAGAGGUCUUUGAAUUAUUGUCAACAGGAAAGAGCUAUAUUGGUGCAGCUAAUGAAAGAAUAGAUAAUAUGUUAGUCGAUAUUACUGAUUAGCGAGGAAUGGUUCUUCUUUUUAAACCCCAGUUACAUCUGAUAAAAUCAGAUAUGCUGUUGACAUGCCACAGGUACCUUCAAUUCAUUUUUUGGCCAAGUAAUGAAUUGAAGGUAGAGAUUGAGGCUUGUAAUCAUAAUCAUUGUGUUGUUCACCUCUUACACCUUGAUCAUGAAAAUCUUGGUGAUAUUCCCUCCUGAAAGCACUAUCAAGAGAUAAACCAGCUUCGAUAUUUUUGCAUUUGUAAAAUGGCAAUUCAUCAUUCCUUUGCUUUUCACUCCUUGUUGACUUUGCAACAAAUGUUUGCUUUCCUUGAUUGUACUCUUGAACCUGCUCAGAUGUCAUAAAAGGUGCCUGAGCUUCUGUUCU